Molecule: ribosomal RNA, 770 nt
Filed under: Pantoea brenneri
Lineage: Bacteria; Pseudomonadati; Pseudomonadota; Gammaproteobacteria; Enterobacterales; Erwiniaceae
Description: bacterial SSU rRNA
Rfam family: Bacterial small subunit ribosomal RNA
Source: RNAcentral
UAUAGAGUUAGCUCCGGUCUCAGAUAGAACGCGGGGGGACACGCAUCACACACACAUCUCAGACGAGAGCACAGAGAGCUGGCUCUUGGGUGACGAGUGGCGGACGGGUGAGUAAUGUCUGGGGAUCUGCCCGAUAGAGGGGGAUAACCACUGGAAACGGUGGCUAAUACCGCAUAACGUCGCAAGACCAAAGAGGGGGACCUUCGGGCCUCUCACUAUCGGAUGAACCCAGAUGGGAUUAGCUAGUAGGCGGGGUAAUGGCCCACCUAGGCGACGAUCCCUAGCUGGUCUGAGAGGAUGACCAGCCACACUGGAACUGAGACACGGUCCAGACUCCUACGGGAGGCAGCAGUGGGGAAUAUUGCACAAUGGGCGCAAGCCUGAUGCAGCCAUGCCGCGUGUAUGAAGAAGGCCUUCGGGUUGUAAAGUACUUUCAGCGGGGAGGAAGGCGAUGUGGUUAAUAACCGCGUCGAUUGACGUUACCCGCAGAAGAAGCACCGGCUAACUCCGUGCCAGCAGCCGCGGUAAUACGGAGGGUGCAAGCGUUAAUCGGAAUUACUGGGCGUAAAGCGCACGCAGGCGGUCUGUUAAGUCAGAUGUGAAAUCCCCGGGCUUAACCUGGGAACUGCAUUUGAAACUGGCAGGCUUGAGUCUUGUAGAGGGGGGUAGAAUUCCAGGUGUAGCGGGAAAUGCGUAGAGAUCGGAGGAAUACCGGUGGCGAAGGCGGCCCCCGGACAAAGACGACGUCAGGGCGAAAGCGGAGCAACCCC